This 84-nucleotide microRNA precursor is filed under the name Bombyx mori (domestic silkworm). Its description in RNAcentral is "mir-2807 microRNA precursor family". It matches the Rfam family "mir-2807 microRNA precursor family". Lineage: Eukaryota; Metazoa; Arthropoda; Insecta; Lepidoptera; Bombycidae. The record is from Rfam by way of RNAcentral.
UUAGCUCAUGUUUGUAUGGAGUGGGAUUGUUUGCGUACGUUUGCCGCUAAGGGCGCUGUUCCAACUGCAUACAAAAUUGGCUUA